ACGGGUGAGUAAAGCGUAGGAAUCUGCCUAAUGGAGUGGGAUAACCUAGGGAAACUUAGGGUAAUACCGCAUAAGCCUUAAGAGGUAAAGCAGGGGAUUGGAAACGACCUUGCGCUAUUAGAUGAGCCUACGUCGGAUUAGCUAGUUGGUGGGGUAAAGGCCUACCAAGGCGACGAUCCGUAGCUGGUCUGAGAGGACGACCAGCCACACUGGGACUGAGACACGGCCCAGACUCCUACGGGAGGCAGCAGUGGGGAAUAUUGGACAAUGGGCGGAAGCCUGAUCCAGCAAUGCCGCGUGUGUGAAGAAGGCCUGCGGGUUGUAAAGCACUUUCAGUGGGGAGGAGAGGCUCUUGGCUAAUAUCCAAGGGAAGAGACGUUACCCACAGAAGAAGCACCGGCUAACUCUGUGCCAGCAGCCGCGGUAAUACAGAGGGUGCAAGCGUUAAUCGGAAUUACUGGGCGUAAAGGGUGCGUAGGUGGUUUGAUAAGUUGGGUGUGAAAUUCCUGGGCUCAACCGAGGAACUGCGCUCAAUACUGUUAAGCUAGAGUACUGUAGAGGGAAGUGGAAUUUCCAGUGUAGC
Molecule: ribosomal RNA, 583 nt
Filed under: uncultured Gammaproteobacteria bacterium
Lineage: Bacteria; Pseudomonadati; Pseudomonadota; Gammaproteobacteria
Description: bacterial SSU rRNA
Rfam family: Bacterial small subunit ribosomal RNA
Source: RNAcentral